Molecule: long non-coding RNA, 5245 nt
Organism: Mobula hypostoma (lesser devil ray)
Lineage: Eukaryota; Metazoa; Chordata; Chondrichthyes; Myliobatiformes; Myliobatidae
Exons: 3
Source: RefSeq, a predicted model, not a curated record
CACACACUCAUGUUAUCUUGUUCUCCUUUGUUUUCCUUUCAAAAUAGCCAAAGGGGAGAACUUGUAUUGCUCAAUAAUAUUUCCAUUAUGAGCAUUGCAGGGUUGGAAGGAACUUAAGUAAUAACAAUAUACUAACCCUCUGUGAUCUUUCUGAUGUGGACUUGGUCUUCUGGACUCUAGAGGUGCAGGUCAUUUUCUAUCAACAUCACUUCCUGUGUUGGCACACCGCCAUACACCGCUCCAGCUGGGGGCUAAACGACGUGAGGGGGUGGUGUUAACACAGCACCACUGGGUGAAGAACCUUGUCGAUGAGGUCUCUGGCCAGGGUGGGUGAGUCCCCCAAAGAACUGUAAUGGCCGUGUGUUCAAGACCAGCGCGAGCCACCGAGUUGGAGGACAUCAGCUGUUGUCCGGCAUGGAGAGGUAUGGGCGCUACCAAGCCUUGCCAGCUCAAGACACGCAAAAGCAUCCCUACAACCCAUAGGCAGGUUGCGGGAUACGAACCAAACCAAACCAAGCCAAACUGAACCGAAGUUAUGAGUGUUGUAUAUAUGUAUUACUUUGGUUGACACUGAUUGUGAGAAUACUCGACAGUAUUUGUAUCUUCAAGCACACAAUGAUUCUGUAUUAAAUUUAAUAUGUAUUUUACCUAGCUUUCUGCAGUUUCACAAGUAAGAGAUCUUAUUUAAGAACUCUGAAGAAAGCUUCCAUCUCAGGUGAUUUUUGACAAGUUGUUUAACUUGCUGUAUAGCUGUGGAGAUAUGCACUCCACGGGCAGUAGACUUGACAAAAUGUUGGGAGAUUUUUCUGUGGCAAGCUCUUCAACAUCAUUUCAAGUCAUCUUCAAAUUACGUCACAUGGUAUGGAUCAACUCCAGCUUUGCCCACAAAAAGAGGAAAAACCUAUUCAAUAUGCUUGGAUAGACCCACCCUAAUUUGGCUUGAAUUGUUUGGCAGGAAGAGUAAUUUAAAACUUUGAAAGCAUUUAGAAACUUUCAAAUCACUUUGAAUGAUGUAAACCCAGCAGCCCUUAAUUUUUUAAAUUAGUAAGCUGUUGUAAAUAAUUUUAGAUCAGAAAUGUUAAUUCUUUUUGAAUUAGUUUGCCACGGGAAAAGGUUUUUUUAGGAAUUUAUUUUUAAGUCAACAUGCUACUUUAAAUCUUCCAUUAUUGUCUUCUGUGAUGGGAAAACAUUCCUUGCACUCCCACAGACUUGCUCUAAAUUGAUUUCAUGUGUGCUGGCCAAUUGAUAGAAGCUGACGCUCACUGGUUGAGCUGCAUCUACUUGGAGCAAAGCCUGCAUAGUCAUUUUGACAGCAUGUUUGGAAGCCUAGAUAUCCUGGUUGCCAUAAGUUUUUACUGACGGUGAAUAUUGUUAGUUUUCAUCAUUGCCAUUGCAAAAUCCAGGCUGGACACAAAGGGUAUUUCCAGUUUAAUUGUUCUGUCAGCAGACUGGAAAGUCUCUUAAUACCCAAUUGAGUUUCAGUCUGAAGCCUCACAAAGCCAUGUUAACUACCCUAAUCAAACUGUGCUCCUCCAAAUGCUCGUAAAUUUUGUCUUUAAGAAUUCUCUCUCAGCAGUGACACAAGACUCGCUAGUCUGUAAUUCCCAGGGUUACCCCUAUUCCCCCUUUCUUCAACAAAGGAAUAACAUUUACCAUCCUCCAAUCUUGUAGCACCACUUCUGUGAGGACACUGAGAUCAUCUCAAUAGCCACAACAAUCUAUUCCCUCUCUUCCCGUAGCUAUCAGGAGUGUAUUCCAUCCAGCUCAGGGGACUUACUGAUGCUAACCUUUAACAAAAGUUCCAGCACGUUCUCUUUCUUAUCGUCGUCACAUCAGCCUGUUCUAUGCUGACCUCACAUUCAUCAAGGUCGCUCUCACUGGUGAAUACUGAAGCAAAGUAUUCCUCUGCCUCUAGGUGCAUGUUUCCUCUUUUAUCCCUGAUUAUCCCUCAGUGUAGGACUGUAUGUUGUAGAAUGCCUAGGAUUAGACUGAAGUUUUUUCUAUGCAUCUUAAUAUUCUCAUAGCAUAAUGAUUUACUGCUGCUCUGAUUUUUGCAGUAUUUAAUUAUCUGAUAAAAAUGAUCUUUCACAUUUUACUACUGUCUCUGACCGGUGUUCUGGCAACAUUUCUGUGACUACCGUUAGUAGGACUGGACAUUGAGAGAUCAUUGAAGGAAAAUAGAAUUCUUUGCUCCCUCGUUUUGCAUUGGCAAAUGUAAUAACAGUGCUGAAAGUCUUCAGACUGAUUUCACCACCAACAGUAACAUGAACAGAACCUCAAUGAGCAACUGACUGUAUUGGGCCAGAGAUAUAUUAACACCAUUUAACGGAUGCUUGGAUGUGUACAAGGGUUGGGUAGGUUUAGAGGGAUAUGGGUCAAACUCAGGCCCAUGGGACUAGCUUAGAUGAGAGUCAUGGUCAGCAUGGACCAUUUGGACCAAAGGGCCUGUUUCCAUGCUGUAUGACUAUGUCUAGGGUGCUCAUGUUACUAUUGGAAAAUAUUUAGAUACAGAGUACUCUAUGUUCAGAUAAUUGAUAUUGUUAGUGAAGUGCGCUCAUACUUGCUUCUGUGGCAACACCAGUUUACAUACAUGAAGUCAAAUUUAACCCUUUAGCCAAGGAAAUCCAUUAAGUGACGUACCUUGUGUGCUAUGUGAAUGUACAAGUGCAAAAACAAUUAUGUAAUAUGAUCAGCACCUCCCUAAACACGCUGUGAUAGUGCAUAUUAGCAUGCAACACGGGAGUUCAGAUUCUAUUUCAACAAUUAGAAAUGCAAAACAAGUAGACGGAAGAGUGGAGGUUUAACUAAAAAGAAAUACAGCUGCUCAUGACAGAAUGAAGACCAGCUAUUAAAUAUUGAGAGGACUAGAUAGAGUGGAUGUAAAGAGAAUGCAGGGGUAUCUGGGAUCAAACUUCAUAGCCUCAGAAUAGAGGGACGACACUUUAGAAUAGAGAUAAGGAAGUGCCACAAUCCUGAUUGAUAAGUUACAGAAACUGGGCCUCUGCACCUUCCUCUGCAACUGGAUCCUCAACAUCCUAACCGGAAGACCACAAUCUGUGCAGAUUGGUGAUAAUAUCUCCUCCUCGCUGACCAUCAACACUGGUGCACCUCGGGUGUGUGCUUAGCCCACUGCUCUACUCUCUUUAUACCCAUGACUGUGGGUAGAAGGUCAUAAAUUUAGUCGGCUCCAUCUUGGGUACUAGCCUACAAGGUACCCAGGACAUCUUCAAGGAGCGGUGUCUCAGACAGACAGCACCCAGGGCAUGGCCUUUUCUCACUGUUACUAGAAGGUAGGAGGUACAGAGCCUGAGGCACAGACUCAGCGAUUCAGGAACAGCUUCUUCCCCUCUGCCGUCCAAUUCCUAAAUGGACAUUGAACCUGUGAACACUACCUCUGAUUUUGCAUGAUUUUUAAUCUAUUCAAUAUACAUAUACUGUAAUUGAUUCACUUAUUCACUUUUUUUCUUCUUCUGUAUUAUGUAUUGCAUUGAACUGCUACAAAUUUCAAGACACAUGCCGGUGAUAAUAAACCUGAUUCUGAUUCUGAAUUUCUUUAGCCAGCGGGUGGUGAAUCUGUGGAAUUCAGGUGGCUGUGGAGACCAAGUCUUUGGGUAUAUUUAAAGCAAAGGAUUAUAAGUUCUUGAUUAGUAAAGGUUGUCAAAUGUUAUGGGAAGAAGGCAGGAGAAUGGGGUUGAAAGAGAUAGUAAAUCAGCCAUGAUGGAAUGGCGGAGAAGGCACAGUGGCUGAAUGGCCUGAUUCUGCUCCUGUGUCCUGUUGUCUUGAUUAUGAGUUAAAUAUUUGUACUACCUGAGCUGCUCUUAAUGCACUUAAAACGGUCAAGCGACCUUCUCUGAUGAAUCACAUGCUUUCCCAUGUUCUGAGUAAAGCUCUCUUCUACUUUUGGGUGGGCCAGUUAUUCUCCCCUCCCCUUCUCCUUCACGAUUCUCCACCCCCUUUUCUCUCUCUCACCUUACCUCCUUGCUUGCCCAUCGCCUCCGUCUCGUGCUCCUCCCCCUUUUUCUUUCUUCCAUGGCCUUCUAUCCCCUUCUAUCAGACUCCCCCUUCUCCAGCCCUGUAUCUCUUUCACAUAUCAACUUCCCAACUCUUUACUUCACCCCUCCCCUUCCUGGUUUCACCGAUCACCUUGUACUUCUCCCUCCCCUCCCCCCACCUUUUAAAUCUACUCCUCAGCUUUUUUCUCCAGUCCUGCCGAAGGAUCUUGGCUCAAAACGUCGACUGUACUCUUUUCCAUAGAGGCUGCCUGGCCUGCUGAGUUCCUCCAGCAUUUUGUGUGUGUUGCUUCUCCAUACUUACCUUGAACAUUCAUCUCUGCUUUCACAAUGUCUAAUUGUUAAUCAGAGAAGUGGGCUCUUGUGUUCGUCCCAAUGCUGCCGGUUCCACCAGACUCACUUCUUAGCCUCAUUGAAAACUUACAGUGGAGAUGAGACCAUUCAGUCAUAAUGUGUGUUUCAGUGAAAAAAAAGAAUUUUAGUGUAAUCCACAUUCUAGCACAAAGCCUGUGGCUCUGGUUCUUUACUUAUACAUAGUUAUGUACAUUUUAAGUACGAUGAAUGUUUCUGAUUUUAUUUUUUUGGCAUCUGAAUGCAACCCCCAUCACCAAGAGAAACAAGGGUGACAGGUGUAUAAGAACAACACCAUCAUCAUGUGGCUGUCUAUGUCACAUACCAUCCUGACUUGGAAACAUAUUGCUGUUCCUCCAGCAUUGAUGGGUCAAAACUUUAGAACUGCCCUACCUCACACUUCCAUUGGAGAACCUUUACCACUUUGACAAACGUCAGUAGAUGCACAGUGAGUAGUAUCCUGACUGGUUGUAUCGUGGACUGGUAUGAAGACAACAAUGCUUCACCUGCUUCAUCAAUGGAAGAGUUUGUGGCUCGUACAUAUUGCAUCAGCCAUCCCAUUACCCCCCAAAACCACAGUGUAAGUAAUACAUCCUCAUUCUGAUAUAGGAGAAGAAAAAAUACCCCAUUAUGAAGCACAGUUAAAUGUAUGACUCCACUAAGGUACACUUGAUUCAUUCUUCAAACCUUACACUACCAUCCUAAUAAAUAAACAGAAAGAUUCUGCAGAUGCUGGAAAUCCAAAGCAACGCACAUAAAAUUUUGGAGAUACUCAGCAGGUCAGGCGGCAUCUAUGGUGAGGAAUAAACGGUGGACAUUUUGGUCCAAAGAUGCUUCAUCAGCACUGACGAGGACACCAUCCUAAUAAAUGUUUCUUUUUUUUU